UACAGAGGGGGCAAGCGUUGUUCGGAAUUACUGGGCGUAAAGGGCGCGUAGGCGGCCCGCUAAGUCGAACGUGAAAUCCCCGAGCUCAACUCGGGAACUGCGUCCGAUACUGGCGGGCUUGAAUCCGGGAGAGGGAUGCGGAAUUCCAGGUGUAGCGGUGAAAUGCGUAGAUAUCAGGAGGAACACCUGCGGUGUAGACGGCUUACUGGACCAUAACUGACGCUGAGGCACGAAAGCGUGGGUAGCAAACAGG
Molecule: ribosomal RNA, 253 nt
Filed under: uncultured bacterium
Lineage: Bacteria
Description: partial 16S ribosomal RNA
Rfam family: Bacterial small subunit ribosomal RNA
Source: RNAcentral